This 476-nucleotide ribosomal RNA is filed under the name Aneurinibacillus aneurinilyticus. RNAcentral's name for it is "bacterial SSU rRNA". It matches the Rfam family "Bacterial small subunit ribosomal RNA", at positions 94 to 562 of the family's 1533-position model. Lineage: Bacteria; Bacillati; Bacillota; Bacilli; Caryophanales; Paenibacillaceae. The record is from RNAcentral.
UGCGGAAACGGGCGUCGAGUAACACGUAGGCAACCUGCCUGUACGACUGGGAUAACUCCGGGAAACCGGAGCUAAUACCGGAUACGUUUUUCAGACCGCAUGGUCUGAAAGAGAAAGACCUUUGGUCACGUACAGAUGGGCCUGCGGCGCAUUAGCUAGUUGGUGGGGUAACGGCCUACCAAGGCGACGAUGCGUAGCCGACCUGAGAGGGUGAUCGGCCACACUGGGACUGAGACACGGCCCAGACUCCUACGGGAGGCAGCAGUAGGGAAUCUUCCGCAAUGGACGAAAGUCUGACGGAGCAACGCCGCGUGAACGAUGAAGGUUUUCGGAUCGUAAAGUUCUGUUGUUAGGGAAGAACCGCCGGGAUGACCUCCCGGUCUGACGGUACCUAACGAGAAAGCCCCGGCUAACUACGUGCUAGCAGCCGCGGUAAUACAUAAGGGGGCUAGCGUUGUCCGGAAUUAUUGGGCGUA